RNAcentral lists this ribosomal RNA (450 nucleotides) under uncultured bacterium. Its description in RNAcentral is "partial 16S ribosomal RNA". It matches the Rfam family "Bacterial small subunit ribosomal RNA", at positions 354 to 796 of the family's 1533-position model. The record is from RNAcentral.
GUGGGGAAUUUUGGACAAUGGGCGCAAGCCUGAUCCAGCAAUGCCGCGUGCAGGAAGAAGGCCUUCGGGUUGUAAACUGCUUUUGUACGGAACGAAACGGUCCUGGCUAAUACCCGGGGCUAAUGACGGUACCGUAAGAAUAAGCACCGGCUAACUACGUGCCAGCAGCCGCGGUAAUACGUAGGGUGCGAGCGUUAAUCGGAAUUACUGGGCGUAAAGCGUGCGCAGGCGGUGCUGUAAGACAGGCGUGAAAUCCCCGGGCUCAACCUGGGAAUUGCCUUUGUGACUGCAAGGCUGGAGUGCGGCAGAGGGGGAUGGAAUUCCGCGUGUAGCAGUGAAAUGCGUAGAUAUGCGGAGGAACACCGAUGGCGAAGGCAAUCCCCUGGGCCUGCACUGACGCUCAUGCACGAAAGCGUGGGGAGCAAACAGGAUUAGAAACCCCUGUAGUCC